Molecule: ribosomal RNA, 305 nt
Filed under: uncultured bacterium
Lineage: Bacteria
Description: bacterial SSU rRNA
Rfam family: Bacterial small subunit ribosomal RNA
Source: RNAcentral
UUGUACCUACGGGAGGCAGCAGUGGGGAAUAUUGGGCAAUGGGCGCAAGCCUGACCCAGCAACGCCGCGUGAAGGAAGAAGGCUUUCGGGUUGUAAACUUCUUUUGACAGGGAAGAGCAGAAGACGGUACCUGUCGAAUAAGCCACGGCUAACUACGUGCCAGCAGCCGCGGUAAUACGUAGGUGGCAAGCGUUAUCCGGAUUUACUGGGUGUAAAGGGCGUGUAGGCGGGGAAGCAAGUCAGAUGUGAAAUUCCAGGGCUCAACCCUGGAACUGCAUUUGAAACUGUAGUUCUUGAGUGAUGGG